This is a non-coding RNA of Phalacrocorax carbo (great cormorant), 1801 nucleotides long. The record is from RefSeq and is a predicted model, not a curated record. Lineage: Eukaryota; Metazoa; Chordata; Aves; Suliformes; Phalacrocoracidae.
GUAUCGUUCGUGUUUCCGUGGUUUUUUUUUUCCUUUUUUUCCCUUUCCCUUCCUUUUCCAUUUUAUUAUAUUAACAUUAUUGUCAUUAUUAUCAUAAUCAUUGGUAUUCUUAUCAUUCUAUUGUAAUCAUUAAACUGUGCUUAUCUCAACCCACAAGUUCUUUUGCUCGUCCGAUUCUCUUCCCCAUCCCACAGGGGUUUGGGGGGAGUGAGCGAGCGGCUGCGUGGUGUUCAGUUGCCAGCUGAGGCUGAACCACGACAUACAUAAAACAGGAGGAACACAAAUGUGUAAACCUCAACAGUUGGAUACUGAUUUUUCACUUCUGUUUUCUCUCCUUAGAAGGUGAACACAAUCAAAUUCCAUUUUUAUAUGUUCUUAGGGUACAACAGAAAAAUUUUAUUUCAGUGUCUCUUGUUCACAGUCUCUUACACACUUUGGCCAUAACUUCAGCACUGCUGUGCCUACUGUGGUGGAUGAUCCUGCAAGAUUUUUGUCUUGGCAGAGAUUACAGCCCACAGACAGAAGUCAAUGCAUGAAACACUUGUGGAGACUGUAAGGUAAGGGUAUGUGGAAGGAGAGUGUCUGCUCCUUAAGGGCAUCUGGUCAAAGAAGCCAUAAACAGGAACAUACAGAGGUAAACCAGACCAAUGCUGGAUAAGAACAAACCUGGUCAGUCCCACUAAUAGGUAAGGAUAUGUGUUUAUUUUUUCAGUUGGGAGGAUAAAGAAAGGGAAAGAGACAGACAAAUAGAGUCAUAUAACUUGACCGAUUAGCAUUAACAAAGACAAUAACUAGUAACAAACCUAGUUGGUCACACUAAUUAAUGGGCUAUCAAGGAACUGCAGGCAUACCGGGACUUUGCAACUGAUUGCAAACCUGAAGGUCCAGGAUGUUGCAAGGGGUUGGUGGCACUAUGCCAGCUGAUGAGGCAAUGUGCAGGGGAAGGGGGAGCAGGGAGGAACAAAGACAGGGAUAGACAGAAUAAGAUAUAAAAGGGGCCGGUCACAUGUAAAACAGGGCUGGUCAGUACACUUUGGCUGAGUCCUAUGCCUGAUCACUGCAGUCUGUCCUAUCUUAUAUCUUCUUAUUAAAUAUUUUCUUAACUAUCUCUUUAUGUAAUCUCAUUCUCUAUCCCAUGUAUAAGGUGCUGCAAGGGAUAAGUGCCAGCUACUGGUGAGAGCAGCAUGAGUGGAUUUGGGGCCAGCUACUGAAGCCAGAACGGAGGUACACUGACUUCCAGGUUCUGCACAGUCCAGUCUAGGGAGCUGAAGAGGAAUCACUCUCCAAAAUGCUUGUGGGAGAAGAAUUAAGAGUGGGACUUCUACUUUUUAAUGUGUGAACUUUAGUAGCACAAUAUUUUAAGCAUUAAUAAAACCAAACCCUGUAAGACAUACAAGACAUUACCAAGAUAAUGCAUAUACCACUUUCCAUCUGAGGAAAUAAUGAACUAUGUACAUUAGAUGUUAGUCAUAUGAUUUAACGUACACUGCAUUAAGGUACUAUGCUGCUGCAGUGAUGAAGGUGCCAUAAGAACCUCUAUAGGUUAUUGCUCAAAAGAUGCAAUGCAUUUAUAUUUUAUCAUCCAAUCUAGUUGUGAGACUAAAUGCCAGAAUCCCAUUUUCCUAGGAUGUCUUUAAACCAUCUCACAUCUUCCAUUUAGCUGUUUGCAGGACAAAGUUUCUACACAGAUCUACCAAGACUAGAGAGAAGAAACUGUGGGAACAGACAUGUAAAACAGUCUGAGCAAAAUAAUUAAUAUUCUUUUCUGUAUAAGAAAUAAUACAGUUACAGAAAGCAAACC